GAACCAUAACUAUCACUAAUUGGGUGCAUGGUACUCUUGCCUAAGACUCGCUGACUUGUUAAUAUGCAGAUCUAAAGAAGCAUAGAUGGUGGAAAAAUCUUAUAAAUGUCUUCUUGAAUACAUUUAGAUCAAAUGACCUGAUCUAAUGUUGCGUCAGUGCGAGCAUGAAUAUCGUCUAACACUGCGUCAUGUUCAAGACAAGUUUGUUUCUCUCUCUCUUUCUCAAUCUCAUUUAUUUUAUUCAUUCAAAUCUGAUUUGGUGAUGUUUUUGCUUCGAUGUGUACAUUUUUUGCAGAAGUUGUUUAUCCUUUGAUAUUUGAUUUAGAACAUGAUUUGAAGGUUAAUUUAAUUGCUUGUGUUACUUUCUGUUUGUUCAGAGGUCCAGUUCAUCCAGUCGGAAGCUCUUCGCCUUAAAAAAUUCUAUUUGUAUCAUAAUGGUUUUGUUAGAUUAGGUAGACAUAAUAACCAAUAGAGUAACAUUUGGGACUUAAGUGAGAUUUGUGAUCACAGUGGUUUGUUUUUUAGUAAGUGACUAUUUAUGGUUGUGUCACAUGAUAUAACAAUGAAGUCAUCAUGAGAAGAAAUUUGACUUGGUGCUGAGAUCAUAUGCGACUAUCAUGGAUGCAGGUACUUUUUGGUUUAUUUUGUCAAAGAGCCUUCUUGUUUGGAGUGUCUCCAUCACAUGAUACAAAUAAUGAUAAACUUUCUGUUGGAUGAAAGGAAGCUAGGAGGUGUGGGAGUCUCUUAGACCAUAAUUAUCGCCUGCAAUUCCAUAGUUCCUACAGGUUUUCCAAGUUGCUUGUGUCAGAGCAAACAGAUAUUUCAUAUUUAAUGGACGUGCUUUAUAUUGAAUUGUUGGCAUGCAGAAGCACGUCCUUUAGCAUUUGCUGGAUCAUUCAAUUACAAUAACAAAUUACCAACUAUACUAUAAAGAAAGAUUGCAAGGCUAUGCGUCUGUUUGGUUUGGCAUCUGAGAAGCUCAAACGCGAGUCUCCAACCUCAAAACGCGAUUGUCACAAUUUCUGGGUUGUUUGGGUUAAAGGAAACGCGAUUCUCUUCAACGUGAUUUAGCAACCAGACGUGAGUCUCCUAGAAGUCAGGAUUCCUAGCUUCUGCGUCUCAUAAACGCGAUUCUGCUUUUUUUGUGGUAGGUAUUCUUUUGAUUAUUACCCAUAAAGCUUCUUCUUCAAUAACAAUUACUACCGCAACUUCAAUUUUUACUACCCAUAAGCUUCUUCUUCCUUCUUCAUAAUUACACAUCAACUCAACUUCAAUUUUUUUUUUCUGAGAAAGAUUUCUUUCCAUCUGUUUUCAGAUUUGCAUAUCUCCUUUAUUUAUUUCUGUCAUUACUCAUGUUAGAUUAGUGUUGGUUGGAUGAAUUUAUUGCAUAUUGUUUCUUCUCUAUAUAUAUGAUGUGUGUGAAUUAUUUGUGACAUACUUCCUUUCAUUGUUCAUCCAAGUCUGAAGGUGAGUAGAAAUUUUAUUGAUUUUUUUGUUGUUGUGAUGGCUUGAUGUAGUAGUAGUGUUCAUUAUUCUGUUUUAAAGUUCUUAUUACAUGUUAUACACUCUACACUCUGUUUUAUUAAAUAAUGCAUAGUAUGUGUUUGAUAAAAUGUCUCUAAGAAGAAAACAAUUUGUUGGUCUUGCUUUGUUAAAAAGUCUCUAAUUUAUGUUUCCAAGCUCUGUUAUUAUUAGAGCAGAUAGACACGAUUUUAGACAAAUGAAUUAUUGAUGCAAAGGCAAAUAAUGAUCAUGGUUUCAGCCUUAUAGUCUAAUCAUCCAGAUUAUGUGUUAAAAAGAUUAUGUGUUUCUAAGUUCUGAUUUGCAGGCGUAAGUCAGAGCCAGUUGGCGAAACUGAGGGCUGCAAACGUUGUAAUUGCAAGAAAUCAAAGUGCCUGAAGCUGUAAGUUGAAAUAAACACUUUUUUUCAUCUGUAUUUUUUUGGGAUAAACAUCCUUCAAUCUGCGUCUUACUCUCUUGGAUCAAAACCUUGAAAUCCAAACAAACAAGCUAUGUUUUUCAUUAUCUCUCUUGGAUCAAAACCUUGAAAACCAAAUAAGUCUUACUUAUGUAUUAGGACUUACUAAUGUGUUAGGAUUUGCUUAUCUCUAGUUUAAGUCUUAUUUAUAUCUAUUCUGUAUUUUGGUUAACAAUGAAUGAAGUAAAUUUCCUAUUUUGCUGAUCAAUUUAUUUCAAUUUAUUUGCCUACGUCGCAUGCCGAAGUUCAAAUAUGAAACACAAGUUCAAAUAGUAGUCGCAACAAUGGCAAUACACAACUUUAUCAGAAGGACUGCUGAAGUGGAUGCUGAUUUCAAUCUUUAUGAAGAUGAAA
Molecule: long non-coding RNA, 2332 nt
Filed under: Trifolium pratense (red clover)
Lineage: Eukaryota; Viridiplantae; Streptophyta; Magnoliopsida; Fabales; Fabaceae
Description: long non-coding RNA (TPRA_LNC011062)
Source: RNAcentral